UAAUAAAGCCAGAAGAAAAUUUCUCCUGAAGAUUCUCACAGAAGAUACUGCUUUGUAAAGAACAUGCAGUCUACACUAACUAUAGCUGAAUACAGAGGUUUUAAGGUUGUUUGCUAAUAUCCCUAAAUAUAGGCUGAUGAAAACCACCAGAGUAAAACUGGUAAAAAUAAUACUGACACAAACGGCAGCAGCAUGAUGUGAUCCUGGCAUGCAGUUCUCUGCUGAUCUGACUGACUAGGAUAUUUAUAGGAAUCACAAAUGCAGAUGACUACAGGGGCCAGGUGAGAAGAAACAUCAGAAGCACUUGAAGGACCAGAAGUUCUCCCAAUACCACCCUAAAAGCAACAACGUCACCAUUUGGAGUUCAAAGUGAGAAACAUGAACUACAUGCUUGAAGACACACAAAUAUGGAAGCAGCAAAGUGGAACCCAGGAACCUAGGUCCGUUGAAUGACACUGGACUGAUG
RNAcentral lists this long non-coding RNA (466 nucleotides) under Homo sapiens (human). Its description in RNAcentral is "HSALNT0124639". The record is from RNAcentral. Lineage: Eukaryota; Metazoa; Chordata; Mammalia; Primates; Hominidae.